ACUUUCAAACUAUGAUCUGAAGUCAGGUGGGAGUACCCGC
RNAcentral lists this ribosomal RNA (40 nucleotides) under Rhizopus delemar. Its description in RNAcentral is "partial 26S ribosomal RNA". Lineage: Eukaryota; Fungi; Mucoromycota; Mucoromycetes; Mucorales; Rhizopodaceae. The record is from RNAcentral.